Molecule: small RNA, 1182 nt
Filed under: uncultured cyanobacterium
Lineage: Bacteria; Bacillati; Cyanobacteriota
Description: bacterial SSU rRNA
Rfam family: Bacterial small subunit ribosomal RNA (bases 1-1039)
Source: RNAcentral
AGGCACAUCCGGCCUAAACUCGUGGUCAGCAGUCGCGUAAUCGGAGGAUGCAAGCGUAUCCGGAAUAAUGGGCGUUAAGCGUUCGGCAGUGGUCAUCAAGUCUGCUGUCAAAGACGAGCUCAACUCGGGCAGCCAGUGAAACCUGUGACUAGAGUACGUAGGGGUAGAGGGAAUCCAGUGUAGCGGUGAAAUGCGUAGAGAUUGGGAAGAACACCAGUGGCGAAGGCGCUCUACUGGGCCGUAACUGACGCUCAGGGACGAAAGCUAGGGGAGCGAAAGGGAUUAGAUACCCCUGUAGUCCUAGCUGUAAACGAUGGAUACUAGGCGUUGCUUGUAUCGACCCGAGCAGUGCCGUAGCUAACGCGUUAAGUAUCCCGCCUGGGGAGUACGCACGCAAGUGUGAAACUCAAAGGAAUUGACGGGGGCCCGCACAAGCGGUGGAGUAUGUGGUUAAUUCGAUGCAACGCGAAGAACCUUACCAGGGCUUGACGUGUCCGGAAUCUCGGGGAAACUCGAGAGUGCCUUCGGGAGCCGGAACACAGGUGGUGCAUGGCUGUCGUCAGCUAGUGUCGUGAGAUGUUGGGUUAAGUCCCGCAACGAGCGCAACCCUCGUCCUUAGUUGCCAGCCUUAAGUGGGGCACUCUAGGGAGACUGCCGGUGACAAGCCGGAGGAAGGUGGGGAUGACGUCAAGUCAGCAUGCCCCUUACGUCCUGGGCGACACACGUACUACAAUGGUCGGGACAAAGGGCAGCGAACUCGCGAGAGUAAGCGAAUCUCAGCAAACCCGGCCUCAGUUCAGAUUGCAGGCUGCAACUCGCCUGCAUGAAGGAGGAAUCGCUAGUAAUCGCAGGUCAGCAUACUGCGGUGAAUUCGUUCCCGGGCCUUGUACACACCGCCCGUCACACCAUGGAAGCUGGCCACGCCCGAAGUCGUUACCCUAACCUUUAGGGGAGGGGGACGCCGAAGGCAGGGCUAGUGACUGGGGUGAAGUCGUAACAAGGUAGCCGUACCGGAAGGUGUGGCUGGAUCACCUCCUUUUCAGGGAGACCUAACUCAAGUCAAAAGGCAAAAGUCAAAAAUCCAACUUUUGAACUUAGAGAAAUCCCAAGGUCGGACAGGAAAAAGGCAGCCUUCAAACUAUCAUAGGGUUCGGGAAAUGGGCUAUUAGCUCAGGUGGUUAG